RNAcentral lists this ribosomal RNA (376 nucleotides) under uncultured bacterium. RNAcentral describes it as "bacterial SSU rRNA". It matches the Rfam family "Bacterial small subunit ribosomal RNA", at positions 524 to 898 of the family's 1533-position model. The record is from RNAcentral.
UACGGGGGUGGCGAGCGUUGUCCGGAAUCACUAGGCGUAAAGGGCAAGUAGGCGGAAUGGUAAGUGAGGUGUCAAAUGCGUCGGCCCAACCGGCGUUGUGCAUUUCAUACUGUCAUUCUAGAGUAGGGUAGAGGAAGACGGAAUUCCUGGUGUAGCGGUGGAAUGCGCAGAUAUCAGGAAGAACACCGGUGGCGAAGGCGGUCUUCUGGGCCACUACUGACGCUAAAUUGCGAAGGUGUGGGUAUCGAACAGGAUUAGAUACCCUGGUAGUCCACACAGUAAACUAUGUACACUAGGCGUCGGGAGGGACAAGCCUUUCGGUGCCGUAGCUAACGCGUUAAGUGUAUCGCCUGGGGAGUACGAUCGCAAGGUUAAA